Lepidothrix coronata (blue-crowned manakin) is the source of this 1307-nucleotide long non-coding RNA. RefSeq lists it as uncharacterized. Lineage: Eukaryota; Metazoa; Chordata; Aves; Passeriformes; Pipridae. The transcript has 3 exons. The record is from RefSeq and is a predicted model, not a curated record.
GUGUCUGGUUUUCUUUCUCGCAGUUGACUCCCAGUAUUCUCACGACAACAGGAACCUCUGAGCCAGCCCAGGUGCCCCUCCUGUGCAUCAAAGAUGGAUUGGCAUGCCCGGCUCUUGGCAAGAUAAGUGCAGGGCAAAGACCCAGAGAGGGGCUGGGAGUUGGUGCAAGUCUGUGCAUUGCCUGGAGGGAUUUUUGUAAUUAGUGUGGUGCAAGAGGUAUCCUGGCACAGGUUAUUUGGAGACAUCAGAGGAAGGGCUUACUUUGUGUCAUUGGAUUCCCGUGUGCAGGGCAGAGCAGUUCCAGUCUGUGUCACGUCCUUUGUCUCGUCCGUGUUUUGUGUCCUUCGUCUCUCAAUUGUGUCACGUGGUGUGUGUCAUCACAGGUGUGGGGUGUCUCACUUGGGGUCAGCCUGGAACUGCUCUGCCCUGCUCCGUGGAUCAGUGGGUAGAUGGAAUAUUGCUCAGUCUCACAUCACCAUGUCAGUUCCCUUAGACAGUGGAGCCGAUGGCUGUCCAGUCGGUGAGCAGGAUGGUCUUGCGAUGCCCUGCUUGGGUGUACAGAGUCCCGGCUAGGUAGAGCAGCAAAGAGUGUCUAGGGUUUAGAGGUUUUUGGCUUUCCUUGUGAGCCAUCCCUAAAUGUUUGAGAGCUGAGUGUUUGAGCCUUUCCCCAUUUGAUUUGCAGGGGCGGUCUUGGGAGCAGCUGAAGAGAGAGGAGCCUUGUAGGUAUCCCAGAAGAUGACAGCACAUUGUCCAAGUGUGGUCAGAGCCAGCGACCCGAGGACCUGCCUUGGUGACAUUAACUUGGAGUACUCUCACGACGACAGGAACCUCUGAGCCAGCCCAGGUGUUCCUCCUGUGCCUCAAAGCUGGAUUGGCAUCCCCGGCUCUCGGCAAGAUAAGUGCAGGGCAAAGACCCAGAGAGGGGUUGGGAGUGGGUGCAAGUCUGUGCAUUGUCCGGAGGGAUUUUUGAAAUUAGUCUGGUGUGAGGGGUAUCCUGGCACCGGUUAUUUGGACACAUCAAAGGAAGUACUUACUUUGUAUCAUUGGAUUCCCGUGUGCAGGGCAGAGCAGUUCCAGUCUGUGUCACGUCCUUUGUCUUGUCCAUGUUCUGUGUCCUUUGUCUCUUAAUUGUGUCACAUGGUGUGUGUCGUCACAGAUACGGGGUGUUUCACUUGGGGUCAGCCUGGAACUGCUCUGCCCUGCUCCGUGGAUCAGUGGGUAGAUGGAAUAGGACUCCGAGUGUCAGGUCAGCAUGUCAGUUCCCUUAGACAGUGGAGCCGCUGGCUGUCCAGUGGGUGAGCAGGAUG